UGUGCCACUAUUUUCGUCUUACGCGUUCCUCGAGUAAAAUAUAUUUGUCUCGUCUUCCGGUUAUGGUUUUGUGGUAAGUAUUUGACAUUUUUAUAAUAUUGUUAACAUUAUGGUCCCAUUGACUUAUGCUUAGUACAGCGGUCAUCGUACGUUUAUCGAUUGUUAUAAUAAGUACUGUUAUAGUCGUAUGGCAUUCUAAUGACAUAUACCUAAUUAUUUUAUAUUUUUUUUAUUUAUUAAUUAAUUGUAUAGAUUAUUCUUAUAAAACUCUUAUUUUGGUUACGAUGCGGACAAAUAAAAAGGGUUUAGUUUCGGUCAUUCUGAAUAAUGAAAAUAUAUUUCAAAAAUUUGUUGACAUAAACAUCAUUAUAUUUUAAGGUUAUAUGUACGGAAAAUUAAAUGCACACAAUAGGUAUGCUUGUACUUGAUAUAUUUAAUAUUUGUAUUACAAUUGUUUGAAGAGAUUGUAGAUAUUGUCAAAUAAGACGUAUUUAUACUUUCGUGAAAAAAUGUAUGUUUACAUCAAUAUUAUUAAAAAUAACAUCCAAUUAGUAAUAUUGUGUAGUGUUUUAAACAACCCCAUUGACUGUUCUGAACUAUUGGCUGAAAUUGGUUUCCGUAUACCUAGUAGAAACACUAGGGGGAUAUAGAUUUAUUCAUAGUUCCUAAUUAUUUUACUAACAGUGGAAAUAAUACAUUUUUUCAAGGGCUUUUGUUUUGGUUAAGAAAAUGUCCACCAAAUUUGAUUUAUUUCAAAUAUAUUCACAUUUAAGGAUUCAAAAUUAAUACAACUGUUAUAUUAAAAUUAAUUUUAAUAAAAUAGUAUUUAUAUUUUAGACUGAUCGCUUAAAAUGUUACCUUUUCAAUAGAUACCUACCAAUAUUUGUAUAAAAUUAAUUUUUUGUUUUUGCAUAUAUCGUUAAACAUUAAGCAAUACGCUUAGUAAAACAUUCUGUAAAGUAGUUACUUGAGAUCAGUCCAGUCUGAAUUAGAGUCUGUGUAGCAAUAAAACUUAAGAAUAUAUAUAUGUGUUACAAUACUAGUCGAGUUGCUAUUGAUAAAUGCAUAGAUACAAAUGAGAUAAUAAAACGAGCUUGUAUAAUAUUUUUUACAAAAUAAAUUUUCUAAUUCUAUUAUUUUCAGCUGAAUUAAGACUACAAUAUGCGUGAUAAGACAAAGCUUUUUAUCCCAGAAACUUUAAUUUGGAUGUAAUUAUACAACAGUCAAUAAUGCCCAGGAAAAGUCGUGGAUCUAGUGAUAUUGUCAUUAACAAUGAAGAGGUGUCCUUACAUUCUAGUUUAAAAAAAUGGAGUUUUGUGGAAAAAGAAUGAUGUAGGUAUUCUUAAUCAAUGAUGUACUUAUAUUAUAAUUAAUUUAAAUUACUUGUAUUUAUAACAGUCUUGUAUUUUUCAAAAAAAAGGCACAAAUGUUAAAAUGGUGAAUUUCUUGGAGAAUGUUACUAAAAUUUGAAAAAUAAAUUAAUGGAAAUAUCAAUAUUUUUAAACAGUGAAAAUAAUAUCAAAUAUGAACAUGCAGCACUACUUAAAGAACUUAUGGAAGUACUCUUUUUUGACCUCAAAUGAUAUAUGAAAAAAAAAAAGUUUUUAAGAAGUCUAUGUCAAAUUUAAAAACAAGAACAAGUUAAAAAAUUCUGACUUUUAACAAUUCCAAAAAAUCCUAUCUACAAAUCAUGUGCAUCCUCAACAGAAUUAAGUGGUAAUUUUGUUGCCAAAUUCGCUUUACACUUAAAAGCCUAGAUUUUUCCUAGAUCAUGUAGUGUUAUAUAGGACUUUAGACUAUAAAACCAAAAUAACAAAAUCUAGUAUUAAACCUUCAACCUAAUGUCAAAAACCUAAUGAAGCAAAUAAACCAUAGUGUAGAAAAAUAUAGAACUAAAAUACUGGUAAUGUGUGAUAAACUUUGAAAUACUUUAAUGAUGCUCAAGAUCAAAAUGAUAAUAGUUUUCUAAAUCAACUUCAACACAAUGCUCUCGUAUCAUAUAUACAGAAAAAUCUACAGACAAGAUUUCAAAUACAUCAUUCAAUAAAAUUUAAAAAAGUUCCAAGUAUGCUACAGUAAAUAUUAAAACUAUGGAAAACUCAGGAAUUAUAUUUAAAAAGAUCACAAUAACAGUUUUUUUUUAUGGAAAUAAUAUAAUACCCCCAAUACAAUUUCUCAGUGGUACAGUUUCAAUAAGAAAGUAAUCCCUAAAUCAAUAAUUAAUAAAACAAUUAUAAUUUUAUUUGAUUUAAAACUGACUGAAAAUAAAAUAAAUAUUAUCAUUGAUUAUAAAAAUAAUGAUAAACUAGAAAAUUCAUAUUAUAUGCACAUCUAUUCUGAAAAUUACUAUUCUUUUGAAUUAUCAUAGCGGCCAAUAAUCUAUAAAAGUAUACUGCUUAUAAGUUCAUACCAACGUAUAAACCAUUUAGUUAGAGGGUUUGAUCAAGGGAACAAGACCCUUUUUCAGAUCAAGAUCCUAAUCAAAAUCAAUCGGGUUUCAUGAACCAUGAAUAAUUUUAGUAUCGGAGAUCAAAGAAACUGAAAAUGGAUCAGGGAAAUCAACUGAAAUAUAUAAAAACAUGAUUGGAAAUCAUUUAUAUCAUUACAUGGUAUAAGAAAUGUCAUUAAUAAUACAUUUUUUUAUCUUAAUGAUAAAAUUGGUUCAACUAAUGAUAAUGAGUUCAAAGACCAAAAGGAAUACUGCUACCUAGACCAAUUGCCAGCAGCUGUGAAUGGCUUUUCAAUGAAUAAGCUCGUGUAGAUUAUGCAGAAUAUAUGAAAGAAGGUAAGAAAAUGUAUUCAAAUUAUAC
Molecule: long non-coding RNA, 2810 nt
Filed under: Cinara cedri
Lineage: Eukaryota; Metazoa; Arthropoda; Insecta; Hemiptera; Aphididae
Source: RNAcentral